This 2881-nucleotide ribosomal RNA is filed under the name Burkholderia multivorans. RNAcentral's name for it is "23S ribosomal RNA". It matches the Rfam family "Bacterial large subunit ribosomal RNA". Lineage: Bacteria; Pseudomonadati; Pseudomonadota; Betaproteobacteria; Burkholderiales; Burkholderiaceae. The record is from RNAcentral.
GGUCAAGCGAACAAGUGCAUGUGGUGGAUGCCUUGGCGAUCACAGGCGAUGAAGGACGCGGUAGCCUGCGAAAAGCCCCGGGGAGCUGGCAAACAAGCUUUGAUCCGGGGAUGUCCGAAUGGGGAAACCCACUCCGUAUGGAGUAUCCAUGACUGAAUACAUAGGUCAUGUGAAGCGAACGCGGUGAACUGAAACAUCUAAGUAACCGCAGGAAAAGAAAUCAACCGAGAUUCCCAAAGUAGUGGCGAGCGAAAUGGGAUGAGCCUUGUACUCUUUAUUCGUAUUGUUAGCCGAACGCUCUGGAAAGUGCGGCCAUAGCAGGUGAUAGCCCUGUAGGCGAAAACAGUAUGAAAGAACUAGGUGUACGACAAGUAGGGCGGGACACGUGAAAUCCUGUCUGAAGAUGGGGGGACCAUCCUCCAAGGCUAAAUACUCGUGAUCGACCGAUAGUGAACCAGUACCGUGAGGGAAAGGCGAAAAGAACCCCGGGAGGGGAGUGAAAUAGAUCCUGAAACCGCAUGCAUACAAACAGUCGGAGCCUCGUAAGGGGUGACGGCGUACCUUUUGUAUAAUGGGUCAGCGACUUACGUUCAGUAGCAAGCUUAACCGUAUAGGGCAGGCGUAGCGAAAGCGAGUCCGAAUAGGGCGUUCAGUUGCUGGGCGUAGACCCGAAACCAGGUGAUCUAUCCAUGGCCAGGAUGAAGGUGCGGUAACACGUACUGGAGGUCCGAACCCACUAACGUUGAAAAGUUAGGGGAUGAGCUGUGGAUAGGGGUGAAAGGCUAAACAAACCUGGAAAUAGCUGGUUCUCUCCGAAAACUAUUUAGGUAGUGCCUCGUGUCUCACCUUCGGGGGUAGAGCACUGUCAUGGUUGGGGGGUCUAUUGCAGAUUACCCCGCCAUAGCAAACUCCGAAUACCGAAGAGUGCAAUCACGGGAGACAGACAUCGGGUGCUAACGUCCGGUGUCAAGAGGGAAACAACCCAGACCGCCAGCUAAGGUCCCCAAAUAUGGCUAAGUGGGAAACGAAGUGGGAAGGCUAAAACAGUCAGGAGGUUGGCUUAGAAGCAGCCACCCUUUAAAGAAAGCGUAAUAGCUCACUGAUCGAGUCGUCCUGCGCGGAAGAUGUAACGGGGCUAAGCCAUAUACCGAAGCUGCGGAUGCGUGCUUGCACGCAUGGUAGGAGAGCGUUCCGUAAGCCUGCGAAGGUGCCUUGUAAAGGGUGCUGGAGGUAUCGGAAGUGCGAAUGCUGACAUGAGUAGCGAUAAAGGGGGUGAAAGGCCCCCUCGCCGUAAGCCCAAGGUUUCCUACGCAACGUUCAUCGGCGUAGGGUGAGUCGGCCCCUAAGGCGAGGCAGAAAUGCGUAGCUGAUGGGAAGCAGGUCAAUAUUCCUGCACCGUCGUUAGAUGCGAUGGGGGGACGGAUCGCGGAAGGUUGUCCGGGUGUUGGACGUCCCGGUCGCUGCAUUGGAGAAGGCGCUUAGGCAAAUCCGGGCGCGGAAUUCAAGGGUGUGGCGCGAGCGACUUCGGUCGCGAAGCAAUUGGAAGUGGUUCCAAGAAAAGCAUCUAAGCUUCAGUCUAACGAUGACCGUACCGCAAACCGACACAGGUGGGCGAGAUGAGUAUUCUAAGGCGCUUGAGAGAACUCGGGAGAAGGAACUCGGCAAAUUGGUACCGUAACUUCGGGAUAAGGUACGCCCUUGUAGCUUGACCAGCCUGCGCUGGAAGGGUGAAGGGGUUGCAAUAAACUGGUGGCUGCGACUGUUUAAUAAAAACACAGCACUCUGCAAACACGAAAGUGGACGUAUAGGGUGUGACGCCUGCCCGGUGCCGGAAGAUUAAAUGAUGGGGUGCAAGCUCUUGAUUGAAGUCCCGGUAAACGGCGGCCGUAACUAUAACGGUCCUAAGGUAGCGAAAUUCCUUGUCGGGUAAGUUCCGACCUGCACGAAUGGCGUAACGAUGGCCACACUGUCUCCUCCCGAGACUCAGCGAAGUUGAAGUGUUUGUGAUGAUGCAAUCUACCCGCGGCUAGACGGAGAGACCCCAUGAACCUUUACUGUAGCUUUGCAUUGGACUUUGAACCGAUCUGUGUAGGAUAGGUGGGAGGCUAUGAAACCGGAACGCUAGUUUCGGUGGAGCCGUCCUUGAAAUACCACCCUGGUUUGUUUGAGGUUCUAACCUUGGUCCGUGAUCCGGAUCGGGGACAGUGCAUGGUAGGCAGUUUGACUGGGGCGGUCUCCUCCCAAAGGGUAACGGAGGAGUACGAAGGUACGCUAGGUACGGUCGGAAAUCGUGCUGAUAGUGCAAUGGCAUAAGCGUGCUUAACUGCGAGACCGACAAGUCGAGCAGGUGCGAAAGCAGGUCAUAGUGAUCCGGUGGUUCUGUAUGGAAGGGCCAUCGCUCAACGGAUAAAAGGUACUCUGGGGAUAACAGGCUGAUACCGCCCAAGAGUUCAUAUCGACGGCGGUGUUUGGCACCUCGAUGUCGGCUCAUCUCAUCCUGGGGCUGUAGCCGGUCCCAAGGGUAUGGCUGUUCGCCAUUUAAAGAGGUACGUGAGCUGGGUUUAAAACGUCGUGAGACAGUUUGGUCCCUAUCUGCCGUGGGCGUUGGAUAUUUGAAGGGGGCUGCUCCUAGUACGAGAGGACCGGAGUGGACGAACCUCUGGUGUACCGGUUGUGACGCCAGUCGCAUCGCCGGGUAGCUAUGUUCGGAAGAGAUAACCGCUGAAAGCAUCUAAGCGGGAAACUCGCCUUAAGAUGAGAUAUCCCUGGAGGCUUGACCUCCUUGAAGGGUCGUUCGAGACCAGGACGUUGAUAGGUCGGGUGUGUAAGCGCAGUAAUGCGUUCAGCUAACCGAUACUAAUUGCCCGUAAGGCUUGAUCCU